CCUACGGGAGGCAGCAGUAGGGAAUAUUGCACAAUGAGGGAAACCCUGAUGCAGCGACGCCGCGUGAGUGAAGAAGUAUCUCGGUACGUAAAGCUCUAUCAGCAGGGAAGAAAAUGACGGUACCUGACUAAGAAGCCCCGGCUAACUACGUGCCAGCAGCCGCGGUAAUACGUAGGGUGCAAGCGUUAUCCGGAUUUACUGGGUGUAAAGGGAUCGUAGACGGCAGCACAAGUCUGGAGUGAAAUCCCGGGGCUUAACCCCGGAACGGCUUUGGAAACUGUGCGGCUGGAGUGCAGGAGUGGUAAGCGGAAUUCCUAGGGUAGCGGUGAAAUGCGUAGAGAUUAGGAGGAACACCGGUGGCGAAGGCGGCUUACUGGACUGUAACUGACGUUGAGGCUCGAAAGCGUGGGGAGCAAACAGGAUUAGAUACCCCAGUAGUC
Molecule: ribosomal RNA, 440 nt
Filed under: uncultured bacterium
Lineage: Bacteria
Description: partial 16S ribosomal RNA
Rfam family: Bacterial small subunit ribosomal RNA
Source: RNAcentral